GUAAAGGUGAAGGAUGGAAGCGGCAUCCUUUUAUGGAGUUUACGGAAUAAAAGAUAUAGCGUACAGCCUGACCCGGA
Molecule: small RNA, 77 nt
Filed under: Flavobacterium sp. FPG59
Lineage: Bacteria; Pseudomonadati; Bacteroidota; Flavobacteriia; Flavobacteriales; Flavobacteriaceae
Description: Flavo-1 RNA
Rfam family: Flavo-1 RNA
Source: Rfam by way of RNAcentral